AUUGAACGCUGGCGGCAGGCCUAACACAUGCAAGUCGAGCGGAUGAAGGGAGCUUGCUCCUGGAUUCAGCGGCGGACGGGUGAGUAAUGCCUAGGAAUCUGCCUGGUAGUGGGGGAUAACGUCCGGAAACGGGCGCUAAUACCGCAUACGUCCUGAGGGAGAAAGUGGGGGAUCUUCGGACCUCACGCUAUCAGAUGAGCCUAGGUCGGAUUAGCUAGUUGGUGGGGUAAAGGCCUACCAAGGCGACGAUCCGUAACUGGUCUGAGAGGAUGAUCAGUCACACUGGAUCUGAGACACGGUCCAGCCUCCUACGGGAGGCAGCAGUGGGGAAUAUUGGACCAUUGGCGAGAGCCUGAUCCAGCCAUGCCGCGUGUGUGAAGAAGGUCUUCGUAUUGUAAAGCACUUUAAGUUGGGAGGAAGGGCAGUAAGUUAAUACCUUGCUGUUUUGACGUUACCAACAGAAUAAGCACCGGCUAACUUCGUG
Molecule: ribosomal RNA, 484 nt
Filed under: uncultured bacterium
Lineage: Bacteria
Description: partial 16S ribosomal RNA
Rfam family: Bacterial small subunit ribosomal RNA
Source: RNAcentral